CUAUUUGUUCUAGUUUUCUACAACUGUGGUAGCAACGACCCAUAUAUAACAUGAUAAACAUCUGAGAAAUAUUAUUGCAGAAGUGCACAGUUCAAGAUAUAUAUAUGGACCUUCAUUAUAACCCAACUACUUCUCAGGAGUUCAGGCUUUUCGGCUGAAGUCAGAGCAGCAGGGACCCUGCAGGGCUCAUGCACUGAACCCUGCUGUUUGGUUGCUAGGGUUUGGAAAUGCUCCAGCAGGUUUGCUGGGAAGUUUGUGUUUGAUGAAACCUGUAAUCUUAACACUACCUUAGCGAAGACUUUUGUGCGUGUGCACACACACAGAGCUACAUACAGUUCAAAGAUUAAACAAAAGCACAAGGAGUGUUUCUAGCGGGCCAGCAUUACCAUUUACCUGAUUCUAGACAGUACUGGAGGACAGAAUUAUAUUUUAAUUCACAGAGUGAAAACCACCCCAGGACCUGCACAAGAUCAUACGUGAUGGACACACAAGGACUCUGCAUAGGUGCAAAUCUUAACCCUAUAAUUUCCUAGCUCUGCUUUUAGGCGUAAUAAGCUAAAUAAAGUUAAAUAAGCUAUUUAUUUCAUGUACUUUUCAAGAAUAGGGGCUAAACGGUGACCAAGGCCCCAAUCCUAUAGAUACUUAUGAUUGGAGGUAGUGUUUACUACUGUGUGUAAUCUCCAUUGAAGUCAAUAGAAGUAUUCUCAGCUGUAAGAACUAUGCUCAGUAACAGUUUUCAGGGUCAAGCCCUAAGUCUGUCUAUAUCUAUUUUUUUUUCUAGAUUUGAAUUUCUUUUUACAAAAAAGCUAGAGAACAAACCAAAAACAAACCAACCAACCAAUCUGAUCUCAGAGGUGCAGUCUAGACACAGUCACUAACAACAACAGAGAAGAGGAAACCUCUCCUUCUACUCCUGCUCUUGAGUUUGUGGUUUCCAGCAGAGCAAUACAAGGGCCCUCUCUGGAUUUAACCCCACCUAUGCAAUUCUUUUAAGUAAUUAAAAAUAACUCUCCAGAAUUCCCUGACAAUAUGCCCAAACCUCCUACUUAGCCGCUGAACACCCAGCAAUAUUCCCUUCUCACGCAUCCCAUCUGAUGCAAUCCCCUGGGCGGGGGAGGACAUCUGGAAUAUUUGGAGUCUCAGAAUGGAGUCACUCACAGAUGUAGAAUUUAUUUUUGCCGUGACAUGUGUAGCCAGACUUUCCAUUCCAUAGGACUGAACUCUGUGGGUCAAAGGCAACAUAUAACUGUUGAUAGUGGGGGGGGGGGUAUGUGUGCACAGUUUAAAGUUUAUGGGGGGGCAUGUGACUGCCCCACGUGUUGCCUCUGGAUCUAGAACAGAGGUUUUCAAACCAUGUGGGGCACACGCCCUCCUAGGGGGUUGCGGAGGAAUGUUCAGGGGUGGGGAUAAGGGCAACACCAGGCAGCUCACGCCAGCCCUGCAGCGGGGCUCGGGGAGGGAGCACCACCUCACCCCUGACUUACCUCAGGGGGCCACCCAGCGUGUUUGGGCGGGGGGAGGGAUGCAGCCAAAAAACCUGUGGGGCACAUGACCCCGCAUGUCCUGCCCACGCAUCAUCUCUGCUGUAUCUCUCUACUAGUAUUAUAACAAUGGUGCCAGACGCGAACUACUCCAUUUUGAAUGAAUGGUCUCAUUCCACAGAGCCUCUUCAAUAUCGAUAGAUGAUCCACAAUAAUGCUCAGAAGUAGAAAGCUGAUUCAGAGCCCUAGAAGUUAUACAGCCUACUGAGAACGUUACCGUCUCUUCUGGAAGGCAACAUUUGCAAUCUGAUUUACUGAGCCACUGUGCAGCUUUCCUAUGAAUACAGCCAAUAACUAUGCAGAGGAGUAUUUUGCUGGAUAAGACUAAUGAGGCCCUAUGCAUUUCUUACCUCAUUACAUGAUGGCUCGAAGGAACGAGCAACAUCGCACUCGCACAGUUCACAUCCAGUUCCACUGGCCAGUCUCCAAGUGUUUGGUGCACAGCGAUCGCAGUUCUGCCCGGUCACAUUCGGAAGGCAUUGGCACUGACCGGUUGUUUUCUCACACUGACAGUCUUCUGAGCUAUUGCAGUGCUCUCGCACUGUUCCCAAGUAGUUACAGACGCACUCUGUAAUGGAAGAGCAGGCAGCCUAACUCUGCUAUGCUAGCACAAUGCCACAUUAAAUUGAGUCCAAACCUAAAUGUCGGUUACUGAUGUAUUACCAAAAGAGGAUGUAUUACUCAUUCCAGGGAGAUGUGAUCCUAUUCAAAUGGGGAAAGUUACACAGACAUCCCUACUGGCAUGUCUUGACAUUGUAAGUUACUUAGGCUAUGACUACACUGGCAAUUGAAUGACAAAACUUGUCUUUAAGGAGGUGUUAAACCCCCCACUUCCCCGAAAGACAAAAGUUUUGCUGCAACAAGUGCCAGUGUGAACAGUGCGUUGUCAGCAGAAGAGCAAAAACGCCGCUCGUUGGAGGUGGAAGUUCUUUGUCGGCAGGAGAGCCGACAAACAGCAGCUACACUGCACAACUUUUAGUGGCACGGCUGCAGCGACACAGCCCUGUCUCUAAAAGCUGUGUAGUGUAGACACAGCCUUAGAAAACAGAUGGUUUGGGAGGAAAAACCUAAUGAAGCAUCCUUUAAAGCCUGUCCGGGUACAUGUGCCAUGGUGACAAGUGCAGUAUAAAUACCCAGUAUGGUAAACUGCCUUCUCAUUCAAAUGCCUCUAUUAAUUUUUCAGAACUUAUGCUGCAAGUUAUUAACCUUGCAAAGAUGCAGACGGAUCUCAGAGUAUUGCUACAUUGGUUUCCAAGUUAAUUUGAGCAAUCGUGUAACUAAGGCUUAAUCUUGUGAAGUGCUCCUAUAAUAUGCACAGUAGGUGACUUGAGGAUUCCUAACAUCUUGCAGGACUAGGACUACAUAUAAUAAGCAGAUAAAGGGAGUCUUUAAAGCACAGUAAUACUCUGAAAAGUGAAUUUUGUAAGAAGGGGAACACCAUGGGGUUCCAGGUUAAUUGUCUUUCAUAUAAAAUGUGCUCUCCUUACAAAGUGGAAGAGAUUAUUAGUUUCCUGCAAACACACCCUGGGAUCUGCAAGUCAGGCUGGAUUCUUUCUGGUUCCCACAUAACCAUCAGAAACAGACUUUGCAACACAGAUCUCUAAAAAUUCGGGGGAUGGUAUGUGACCCACAAUAGAACUCAGCUCCCUCCCUCCCUCCCGGAGAUGUUUGCUCUGCUAAUAGAAAUAGUAAAAAAAAGAGAGAAAAAAACACUUUUUUCUGACUAACUUUCUGGAUAAGCACAGAGUAGCAUUCUGGAGUAAGAGAUUCCCUUUUUAAAAAACACAGAACAACACACCAUUAUGUGACUAUAGCCCCACUUAACACUUAUCAUUCCCUGAGGCAGCCCUUCCUUCUGAGCUUUCAGGAACCCACUCCUGCUGUUCUUUAACAUCCCAGGAAUGUUUGUGUAAACAAAAGCCAUGUCUUCAGGGCUUAAGAAGCAGCAGGAAAUGGCCAUGCUCCAUCUCUUGAUAAGAGGGAAACAAUGAAUGCUCACAAGAAGGCAAGAAAUCCUUAUCCCACAAGAGCCCAUCCUUUCAGAUGUUUGGACACGUAAAUGAUAGGUGUCUCGUUUCUCCCUGUUACACUAAACGACUCCUGCCCCCUGAAGAAUCACACUGAACACAAGAAAAGCUGCAAACCCAAUGUUUAGCCAGAGGUAAUUAGGUUUCUACCAUCAGUUUAAUCAGAAAUGGUUCCUGGUAAAUUUAAAAUACUCUAGGUUAUCUGCCAUUCUCCAUUAAUGUCCUGAGGCCACCUGCAAAAUCAACAGCUUCACAGUUUAUUAUGCCUAAUGAUAUAGAGUUUAGUGUAGGUAAAUGAAUUCUGGCCAGUGCUAUAGAAGUGAGGAAUAGGAAGACCCCUCCCCCCCCCCCACUUACUUCUACAAUCCUGUUGCAAUGCAUGUCCAUAGUACCCAUAUUUACACAGCUGGCAAUUUUCACCCUCUGUCUGAUACAAGCACUUCAGGCACUUUCCAGACUGCUUGUCACAGGCCCCUGGGUCAGUCAUGUCAAUGUUGUUGUUACACUGGC
Molecule: non-coding RNA, 4078 nt
Organism: Chrysemys picta bellii (western painted turtle)
Lineage: Eukaryota; Metazoa; Chordata; Testudines; Emydidae
Source: RefSeq, a predicted model, not a curated record